GACGAACGCUGGCGGCGUGCUUAACACAUGCAAGUCGAACGGAAAGGCCCUGCUUGCAGGGUACUCGAGUGGCGAACGGGUGAGUAACACGUGGGUGAUCUGCCCUGCACUUCGGGAUAAGCCUGGGAAACGGGGUCUAAUACCGGAUAGGAGCCAUUUUUAGUGGGAUGGUUGGAAAGUUUUUUCGGUGUAGGAUGAGCUCGCGGCCUAUCAGCGUGUUGGUGGGGUAAUGGCCUACCAAGGCGGCGACGGGUAGCCGGCCUGAGAGGGUGGACGGCCACAUUGGGACUGAGAUACGGCCCAGACUCCUACGGGAGGCAGCAGUGGGGAAUAUUGCACAAUGGGCGCAAGCCUGAUGCAGCGACGCCGCGUGGGGGAUGACGGCCUUCGGGUUGUAAACUCCUUUCGCUAGGGACGAAGCUUUUGUGACGGUACCUAGAUAAGAAGCACCGGCUAACUACGUG
Molecule: ribosomal RNA, 464 nt
Filed under: uncultured bacterium
Lineage: Bacteria
Description: partial 16S ribosomal RNA
Rfam family: Bacterial small subunit ribosomal RNA
Source: RNAcentral